Molecule: long non-coding RNA, 1276 nt
Organism: Papaver somniferum (opium poppy)
Lineage: Eukaryota; Viridiplantae; Streptophyta; Magnoliopsida; Ranunculales; Papaveraceae
Exons: 5
Source: RefSeq, a predicted model, not a curated record
GAUUCCACCUUGUUAUUAACUUUGACUUCUGAAGAUGUGACUCCUUCCCCUGCAGGGUCUACAAGCACUUACGCUCAAGGGAGAGUGGAAGAAUUUGAAUUUGUGGACUACUUAAAGAUUCCAGAAGAGUAUGAAACUUUGUAUAAGAAGAUCUAUGAUAAGUAUGGGCAUAUGGCGUCCAAAAAAGUCAUCAAGUUCAAUGAUGCUAUGUUACUGACAUGUGUUACCAGUCUAUUAAAGAUCAUCUCGGAUAUGGAAACUGUGCCAGGUGCGGAACUGAGUGAAGCAUUGCUGGAGAGAUGGGAAGGACACAUCAAAGAUGCUGAGACCUUGGAAUUCAAUAUUAAGUGGCUUCGAGAAGGCUUUAAGCGGCUUAAGAAACAUUGGAUCUCUUCAGUCGGGAUAGAUAAAAAAGUUGAAAGUUAUGAACAAGUAUUGGAUGCAUGCAGGUGAAAUGUGUUGGCCUCCUGACAAGAAAAGACCAACUUGAAACUGAACUUUCAGAAGUGAAAAGUCAGAUAGUGAAAGCUGAAGCGACGAUUUCGUCUGUGGAAGAAGCUAUUCAAGAAAUGCAGACUCAAAAAACCAAAUUUGAGCGUGAACCUGUUCUUGGAAUAGUGCUUAGCUGAAUUUAGAAAUUGCAAUGAAGCAACCAGAGCCAUAUGGCCUAGAGAAAGAGACAUACAUCACGUAUCUUAUUACAAGUUCAAGAUUAUUGGUGAUGUUCAGUUUCUGUCAAAAGGUUUUUGCAUCUUGUGCAUGGGUGUGUAUUCAGUAUGAACUUGAAAUAACUUUCUUUGUUUCUCUAUGUUGGUUGUUAGUGAAUGUUGGUUGAUUCAGAUGUUUACGAGUGAUUAGCAUGUCUGCUUACUCUGCUACAGUAAAUGUUAAAUGGUUGAUCAGCAAAUGCCGUUCUCAACUGUUUUGCUAAACAUAAUUGUCUAUUGUCUUGUUUUACUUUCUGCAUCUUCUUCUCUGAAGAUUAGCAAAAGAUUUUUUGUUGGUAAUUGACGGUGUUUCUUACAAAGCUCUUGACAAAAUUAGGCGACCUCUGUAUGAAAAGUAUUCAGUGUCAAAGUUUGCCUGGACAACAGAAGAUAUCGUUACUGGGAAAGCAACAAAUAUUAGUUUGUAUGAGCUGUAACAUACUGGAUUCCUGAAUAAGAGCCCCUGUUUUGUGCAACUCGUUGAGUAGAGCUAGAGAUUUUUAUGCAAAGAAGAUAUGGAAAUCCUGGCUGGAGAUAUCCCAAAUUAUUCAACUUCAGAAAGAUCAGUU